Molecule: ribosomal RNA, 271 nt
Filed under: uncultured bacterium
Lineage: Bacteria
Description: partial 16S ribosomal RNA
Rfam family: Bacterial small subunit ribosomal RNA
Source: RNAcentral
UACGAAGGGGGCUAGCGUUGCUCGGAAUUACUGGGCGUAAAGCGCACGUAGGCGGUCUUUUAAGUCGGGGGUGAAAUCCUGGAGCUCAACUCCAGAACUGCCUUCGAUACUGGAAGACUUGAGCUCGGGAGAGGUCGGAGUGGAACUGCGAGUGUAGAGGUGAAAUUCGUAAGAUAUUCGCAAGAACACCAGUGGCGAAGGGCGGCUCACUGGCCCGGUACUCGACGCUGAGGUGGCGAAAGCGAUGGGGAGCAAACAGGGAAUUAAGAAA